Molecule: long non-coding RNA, 603 nt
Filed under: Pongo abelii (Sumatran orangutan)
Lineage: Eukaryota; Metazoa; Chordata; Mammalia; Primates; Hominidae
Description: lincRNA
Source: RNAcentral
GUAUUUCAAAGCUCUCUGGCUCCUGGGAAUGAGCAGUGCCCUCUCAUCCUGUAAAAAUUGUGGACAUCACACGCUGAUGUACAGACAUGGUGCCAGUGCCUCCCUUCUUUGGGGUCUUGGAAAACCUGGUGCCACAAUGGGAUCUAAGUAGCCUUGGAUCAAUACAGAUUCGUGUUUCUCACACCGAAGUUCAGGACUCUGGCAGCUCCAGGUCCCCUGAGGCCCUGCGGAAACAGUCACUUGAAGUGAGGUGGACCCUGGUGCUACUUGCAAUUCCUCCAAGAAUUCAACCCAGCCAGCAAGACGGAGGGCCUCCCAAAUGCUGUGAUCUGCUCCUUGCUGCUCUGCUGGGAUGUCACUGCCCCCUGUGCGUUCCUGCGGGUGAGGUCUUCUCCCAGAAGCGAGACAAUGAACAGGACCCAAGUGAUUUCAUUGGCCAGACCCUCAAACUGUUGGUGAAGAGGAACGUUUCCUUGGAAUUAAGCUGCCGCUAAGUAAAGGUCAAGGCACGGGGCAGCUGGAUGUCCGUGUGGAUCCUGCAAAUGGAGAGGCUCUGCUGUGGAAACAGAAUGGAACUUAACCUCAGCUAAAACAGUGGUGGAG